CCUACGGGUGGCAGCAGUGAGGAAUAUUGGUCAAUGGGCGCGAGCCUGAACCAGCCAAGUAGCGUGAAGGAUGACUGCCCUACGGGUGGUAAACUCCUUUUAUAAAGGAAUAAAGUGAGGCACGGGUGCCUUUUUGUAUGUACUUUAUGAAUAAGGGUCGGCUAACUCCGUGCCAGCACCCGAGGUAAUACGGAGGGUCCGAGCGUUAUCCGGAUUUAUUGGGCUUAAAGGGAACGUAGAUGGGCUGUUAAGUCAGUUGUGAAAUUCUGCGGCUCAACCGUAAAAUUGCAAUUGAUACUGGCAGUGUUGAGUACAGUUGAGGUAGGCAGAAUUCGUGGUGUAGCGGUGAAAUGCUUAGAUAUCUCGAAGAACUCCGAUGGCGAAGGCAGCUUACUAAACUGCCACUGACAUUGAUGCUCGAAAGUGUGGGUAUCAAACAGGAUUAGAUACCCCUGUAGUC
This 460-nucleotide ribosomal RNA is filed under the name uncultured bacterium. RNAcentral's name for it is "partial 16S ribosomal RNA". It matches the Rfam family "Bacterial small subunit ribosomal RNA", at positions 338 to 795 of the family's 1533-position model. The record is from RNAcentral.